This 1086-nucleotide ribosomal RNA is filed under the name uncultured Klebsiella sp. RNAcentral's name for it is "bacterial SSU rRNA". It matches the Rfam family "Bacterial small subunit ribosomal RNA", at positions 57 to 1134 of the family's 1533-position model. Lineage: Bacteria; Pseudomonadati; Pseudomonadota; Gammaproteobacteria; Enterobacterales; Enterobacteriaceae. The record is from RNAcentral.
GCAAGUAGAGCGGUAGCACAGAGAGCUUGCUCUCGGGUGACGAGCGGCGGACGGGUGAGUAAUGUCUGGGAAACUGCCUGAUGGAGGGGGAUAACUACUGGAAACGGUAGCUAAUACCGCAUAAUGUCGCAAGACCAAAGUGGGGGACCUUCGGGCCUCAUGCCAUCAGAUGUGCCCAGAUGGGAUUAGCUAGUAGGUGGGGUAACGGCUCACCUAGGCGACGAUCCCUAGCUGGUCUGAGAGGAUGACCAGCCACACUGGAACUGAGACACGGUCCAGACUCCUACGGGAGGCAGCAGUGGGGAAUAUUGCACAAUGGGCGCAAGCCUGAUGCAGCCAUGCCGCGUGUGUGAAGAAGGCCUUCGGGUUGUAAAGCACUUUCAGCGGGGAGGAAGGCGGUAAGGUUAAUAACCUUGGCGAUUGACGUUACCCGCAGAAGAAGCACCGGCUAACUCCGUGCCAGCAGCCGCGGUAAUACGGAGGGUGCAAGCGUUAAUCGGAAUUACUGGGCGUAAAGCGCACGCAGGCGGUCUGUCAAGUCGGAUGUGAAAUCCCCGGGCUCAACCUGGGAACUGCAUUCGAAACUGGCAGGCUAGAGUCUUGUAGAGGGGGGUAGAAUUCCAGGUGUAGCGGUGAAAUGCGUAGAGAUCUGGAGGAAUACCGGUGGCGAAGGCGGCCCCCUGGACAAAGACUGACGCUCAGGUGCGAAAGCGUGGGGAGCAAACAGGAUUAGAUACCCUGGUAGUCCACGCCGUAAACGAUGUCUAUUUGGAGGUUGUGCCCUUGAGGCGUGGCUUCCCGAGCUAACGCGUUAAAUCGACCGCCUGNNGAGUACAGCCGCAAGGUUAAGACUCAAAUGAAUUGACGGGGGCCCGCACAAGCGGUGGAGCAUGUGGUUUAAUUCNAUGCAACGCGAAGAACCUUACCUGGUCUUGACAUCCACAGAAGUUUCCACAGAUGGAUAGGUGCCUUCGGGCAACUGNUAAAACAGGUGCUGCAUGUUUGUCGUCNNCUCANNNUGGUGAAAUGGUUGGGGCUNACUCCCCCCCACCCACCCCCACCCCUUUAUCUUUUGUUGUCAAGCGG